RNAcentral lists this ribosomal RNA (729 nucleotides) under uncultured eukaryote. Its description in RNAcentral is "SSU rRNA". It matches the Rfam family "Eukaryotic small subunit ribosomal RNA", at positions 670 to 1426 of the family's 1831-position model. The record is from RNAcentral.
CGGGUGCACUGAUCCAGCCGGGCCUUUCCCUCUGUGGAACCCCAUGGCCUUCACUGGCUGUGGUGGGGAAACAGGACUUUUACUUUGAAAAAAUUAGAGUGCUCCAGGCAGGCCUAUGCUCGAAUACAUUAGCAUGGAAUAAUAGAAUAGGACGUGUGGUUCUAUUUUGUUGGUUUCUAGGACCGCCGUAAUGAUUAAUAGGGACAGUCGGGGGCAUCAGUAUUCAAUUGUCAGAGGUGAAAUUCUUGGAUCUAUUGAAGACUAACUACUGCGAAAGCAUUUGCCAAGGAUGUUUUCAUUGAUAAGGAACGAAAGUUAGGGGAUCGAAGACGAUCAGAUACCGUCGUAGUCUUAACUAUAAACUAUGCCGACUAGGGAUCGGACGAUGUUAUUCUUUGACGCGUUCGGCACCUUUCGAGAAAUCAAAGUGCUUGGGCUCCAGGGGGAGUAUGGUCGCAAGGCUGAAACUUAAAGAAAUUGACGGAAGGGCACCACCAGGGGUGGAACCUGCGGCUUAAUUUGACUCAACACGGGGAAACUCACCAGGUCCAGGCACAGUGAGGAUUGACAGAUUGAGAGCUCUUUCUUGAUUCUGUGGGUGGUGGUGCAUGGCCGUUCUUAGUUGGUGGAGUGAUUUGUCUGCUUAAUUGCGAUAACGAACGAGACCUUAACCUGCUAAAUAGCCCGUACUGCUUUGGCAGUUCGCCGGCUUCUUAGAGGGACUAUCGG